GGAAGGAUCAUUAACAAAAACAUGAAUCUCAAAUUCAUAAACCCCGGCUGUGUACCUGACUUUGUUGCUUCCGCAAGUAUGACGAUUGGAUCGUGAUUCCCUUCUGCCUUGAGGGGAGCUUGCGGGAGAAUUUUUCAUACAAUGCUAUUUGUUUACAGCUGUCUGAAGUGUUGCAUUUGCAAUCGAAUUAUCAAAACUUUCAACAACGGAUCUCUUGGUUCUCGCAUCGAUGAAGAGCGCAGCGAAAUGCGAUAACUAGUGUGAAUUGCAGAAUUCCGUGAAUCAUCGAGUUCUUGAACGCAUAUUGCGCUCCUUGGUAUUCCAGGGGGCAUGCCUGUUCGAGCGUCUGUAAACCCCCUCAGCUUUGGAUAGCUCCACUGCCUGGUGUUGAAAUCGGAGUGUACUGUUAUAUCUCCCUUUCGAAAUUAUCCGGCGCGAUUGACUGUCAAUCCUGUGUGAUAAGUUUUCAGCUUCACGGAUUGUUCUUUCACUUGCAGCCUAUAAUUUAUUUUGUUUGAUUUUAUGACCUCGGAUCAGGUAAGGAUACCCGCUGAACUUAAGCAUAUCAAUAAGCGGAGGAAAAGAAACCAACAGGGAUUGCCUUAGUAACUGCGAGUGAAGCGGCAUGAGCUCAAAUUUUAAAUCUGGCACUUUUGGUGUCCGAGUUGUAAUUUGGAGAGGUACCUUCGAGGUAGGCAUCACCUUAAGUUCCUUGGAACAGGACAUCACAGAGGGUGAGAAUCCCGUAUGUGGGUGGUUGCUGAAUCUCAUGUGAAGUACCUUCAACGAGUCGAGUUGUUUGGGAAUGCAGCUCAAAAUGGGUGGUAAAUGUCAUCUAAAGCUAAAUAAUGGCGAGAGACCGAUAGCGCACAAGUAGAGUGAUCGAAAGAUGAAAAGCACUUUGAAAAGAGAGUUAAAAAGUACGUGAAAUUGUUGAAAGGGAAGCGCUUGGAACCAGAAGCAGGUUUUGGUAAUCAUCAGCCCCUUUGGGACUGUGUACUUUCCACUACCUGAGGCAGCAUCGGUUCGAAUGAUGGGAUAAAGGUUUGAAGAAUGUGGCUUCCUUCGGGAAGUGUUAUAGCUUCAGGCGUAAUGCUGCCAUCAAUACGGACCGAGGACCGCGCAAUUGCAAGGAUGCUGUCCAAAUGGUUCUCAGCGACCCGUCUUGAAACACGGACCAAGGAGUCUAACAUCUAUGCGAGUGUUUGGGUGGAAAACCCUUGCGCGUAAUGAAAGUGAACGGAGAUGGGAACUCUUGCGGUGCACCAUCGA
RNAcentral lists this ribosomal RNA (1272 nucleotides) under uncultured fungus. RNAcentral's name for it is "eukaryotic LSU rRNA". The stretch from base 524 to 1272 matches the Rfam family "Eukaryotic large subunit ribosomal RNA", at positions 1 to 764 of the family's 3401-position model. The record is from RNAcentral. Lineage: Eukaryota; Fungi.